Molecule: long non-coding RNA, 1188 nt
Filed under: Homo sapiens (human)
Lineage: Eukaryota; Metazoa; Chordata; Mammalia; Primates; Hominidae
Description: HSALNT0023371
Source: RNAcentral
AUGGAGUUGCUCUGGUUCACACGUCUCUGACACAAACAUUUAAGCCAAAGCAACAUUGUGGAAAGAAAGGAAAGACAUUUCUGAAAACAAAUGUGUGGUUCUGCCUGAUGGUUCUGGUGAAUCUUCCGCACUUGCUAUGACAAGAAAUUCAAGGAAAAUAAUAGCAGCUAACCAAGCACUGGCCUCCAGCUAAGCAACAUUAAGACAAUUGCAGCUUACCCAGCUCACAGAGGCUGACUCUCCGACCCCCUGCUCCACCAGCCAUGAUGGCAGCAUUCACUGGACAAGACACUGACUUCAAGAGCUUUCUGCUGAUGAGAGACCACGACCUUGGGCUAGUCCUGGCCAGUUUACAGACGCUGUGCACUUGAGCACCUUUGAGUCCUGGAAAGACCUAAUUGGAAUACAUUUACAUGUGAAGCCUCCACCUCAAGAUUCAGAAAUCCCUGUGCCAACUAGAACCCUUUGAAACUAACCCUGACUAUCAUCAACAAGGAAUGUGGCUGCUUCCAUAGCAUAUUUGAAGUACAGAACUCAAGAAAAUGCUUCCUAUUGAUGGAAUUUGUUAGACCACCACACUUCCUGGGAAUUCAGUUUUCUUCCAUUAAAUUCAUCAGACUCAGGUGGAAUUGAGUUGAGUGUCUCUCACAAGCUUUAGGCUGGCAAAAAGAGCUGACACUGCCAACUACAGCUUUUACUGCAAAUACAAGCUGCUUCCUUGCAGCUGGGGAACUUAGUGGAGAUGUGCACACUUGUGGACACUAGGUGCGUGAUGGGGGAGCUUGUAACCCGCCCCUGAUUAUUCUGAACACAAACCACAUCUAGCGGUCAAGUUCUCCUCCUAGGUGGAGAAAUGGAGUUUGAGUGGGAGACAAGGCAUUGCCUUGCAAAUGUCAUUUGCACAGCUGGUCCCAUUUGUAUGGCUUACAUUCAAAUGAGGGCUUAGAGAAAUCCAGCAUCUGAUUGGAUUAAAGUGCACAUUUAAAUAAGAUGCUGCCAGUUCAGCUCUCUAAUUGGACCAAACCACUGCAGGAUGUCAGCCAAUCAGAAUGCACAUACCAGCCUGCCAAGCCCUCUCCACCGCCAGAAUGAAGCGGGGCUACUCUCGGGAAUGGGAGGGCUUGUAACCAUUGGGAAAUCUGUAAAUGUGACUCAUUAUGUUCAUAAAUUUUGAAAAGCAAAAAUUCU